UGGGGUAUCGCCAAGCGGUAAGGCACCGGAUUCUGAUUCCGGCAUUCCGAGGUU
This 54-nucleotide transfer RNA is filed under the name Escherichia coli. Its description in RNAcentral is "tRNA-Gln". The record is from RNAcentral. Lineage: Bacteria; Pseudomonadati; Pseudomonadota; Gammaproteobacteria; Enterobacterales; Enterobacteriaceae.